AUUGAUUUUGAUGCUUCUAGUCGUUUUCCCCGUAAGAUAGAACGGCUUGCUGUCUCUUUGAAGUACACCAUUCGUGUUAGCUAUGGCGCAUGCGCAAAUCAAAUAUCCUCGGUUCAGCCUACAACGUACUGCCAAAUGGACGCUGCUCAGCUGGAUGGUAUCUACUCAUUAGUUUCUAGCUUGCAGUUUGACUGACACGAUUUUGGUUUGGUUUAGAGAGAAUUAGAAUUUACUAUCAAGAGGGAAAACCUUUGAAGGUGAUUCUAGCGUAUUUGGCUGCGAAUCACGUUGUUCGGAGGUGACUAGGAACGCUUACUUAUUUACUUGCAAACCUCUAUUUGGCAUUGCAAUCUAUGACGAGAUGGAGGUUACAUCUGAUGACUCUUUCACAGUUUAUGAGAGCUGGACACACAAUGACAGUGCUGUAGGAAAAGGUGAAGAGCCUGGAUCAGCGUAUGGGUCCCCUGGUGCAAUCCAGUCCCAUCACACAGCAACUGCGACCACAUCUGUAGCAGUACAAACAUCAAUUCAUUUGUCAUACAAGUCUUUAGGAGUUCAGACUGAUGAGCAGCAAGUGAAUGCCACGUCUGAUGCUGACAGGAAGACAGAAUCACCUUUAGAUAGUUUGUGUGUCAAGCUAGAAGUGCAGCCAAGUACCGUUCAGAUUGGAAAGCAGCUGGGUAAAGGAAAUUUUGGCACUGUAUGAAGCAAAGUGGAGUGGGUCCAGAGUUGCCGUUAAAAUAAUUCAAUUUGAGCAAGUAAAAGUUCUCCCAUUACACCUGAGAGAGAAAUUUCAGUUUUAUUACAUCUUCGGCACCCGCACAUUAUCAUGAUCCUCGCAUGGGCAAAAGAAGUGCCAUCAACAUUGUAUAUUGUCACGAACUUAGUUAACGGACCAAGUCUCUUUCGAGCUCUGUUUGCACAGACUUCAAACUUGCAGUUCUCUUUGACAAACAGAAUGCAAAUUGCUGCCCAAGUGACAUCGGCUCUAGGAUACCUGCAUAAUGCAAAACCUAAGGUGCUCCAUAGAGAUUUGAAGACAGACAAAAUUUUAAUAGAUGCCCAUACUUAUCAUCCCUACUUAGCAGACUAUGGGAACAGCAGCUUACUCUGCUCCAAAAGUCUUUGAUUGCGUCUAUUCCACACAAACGGACAUAUGGGCAUUAGGGUGUGUGCUGUAUGAACUCCUAACAGGAUGUUUCAUUUGGAAUGAAAUCAACAGAAAGCCAGUGGCCAUUCAACGGCAUUUCUUUUAUGCCAGAGGACCAGAUAUUUCUAGAGUUAUGCCAUCAGUUGCUAAAGAUGUUGUUGCAAGUUGCUUGCAGAUCAGUCCUGAAAAGCGACCUUCUGCAGACUCUGUAGUCUCUAAGCUCACAGAAAUUAACCUUCCAGAAUAAUGUACUUUCAGUCAGAAACUGUUUGUUCUUUGUUGAGUUGAGUUGAGUUUUCGUCUGAGAAGUAAUUAGUUUUUCGAAUUGCCAUUGAGUAAGCUAAACUUAAUCUUUUGCCACUUGGUAAAACAUCUUUUCAUUGUGUGCUGGAGGCACAAUUAAAAAUGCACUUUGUCUUGUAACAUUUCUUGUUGACAAACAGAUUGUAUGUU
Molecule: long non-coding RNA, 1603 nt
Organism: Corticium candelabrum
Lineage: Eukaryota; Metazoa; Porifera; Homoscleromorpha; Homosclerophorida; Plakinidae
Exons: 6
Source: RefSeq, a predicted model, not a curated record